UGGGCUUGACAUGUCCGGAAUCCUGCAGAGAUGCGGGAGUCCCCUUCGGGGAAUCGGAACAC
This 62-nucleotide ribosomal RNA is filed under the name uncultured organism. RNAcentral describes it as "partial 16S ribosomal RNA". The record is from RNAcentral.